GACGAACGCUGGCGGCGUGCUUAACACAUGCAAGUCGAACGGAAAGGCCCUGCUUUUGUGGGGUGCUCGAGUGGCGAACGGGGGAGUAACACGCGAGUAACCUGCCCCUGACUUUGGGAUAACAUCAGGAAACUGGGGCUAAUACCGGAUAGGAGCUCCUGCUGCACGGGGGGGGUUGGAGAGAUUCGGCGGUUGGGGAUGGACUCGAUGCUUAUCAGCUUGUUUGUCGGGUAGUGGCGUACCAAGGCUAUGACGGGUAGGCGGCCUGAGAGGGUGAACGGCGACAUUGGGACUGCGAUACGGCGCAGACGGCAACGGGCGGCAGCAGUGGGGAAUAUUGCGCAGUGGGCGGGAGCGUGAUGCGGAGGCGCCGGGUGCGGGAUGACGGCCUUCGAGUUAUAAACCGCUGUCGACUGUGACGAAGCGUGAGUGACGGUAAUGAGUAAGGAAGCACCGGCUAACUACGUG
RNAcentral lists this ribosomal RNA (468 nucleotides) under uncultured bacterium. RNAcentral's name for it is "partial 16S ribosomal RNA". It matches the Rfam family "Bacterial small subunit ribosomal RNA", at positions 28 to 507 of the family's 1533-position model. The record is from RNAcentral.